GACGAACGCUGGCGGCGUGCUUAACACAUGCAAGUCGAACGGGCCCGCUCUCUUUUUUGGGGGUGGGUUGAGUGGCGAACGGGUGAGUAUCACGUGAGUAACCUGCCCCCUGCUCCUGGAUAACUGCUUGAAAGGGCGGCUAAUACGGGGUGUGCCGGCUGGUCCGCAUGGGCCUGGUCGGGAUAGUUUCAUCUUCGGGUGUUUCGGUGGGGGAUGGGCCCGCGGCCUAUCAGCUUGUUGGUGGGGUGAUGGCCCACCAAGGCGGUGACGGGUAGCCGGCCUGAGAGGGUGGGCGGCCACACUGGGACUGAGACACGGCCCAGACUCCUGCGGGAGGCAGCAGUGGGGGGUAUUGCACAAUGGGCGGAAGCCUGAUGCAGCGACGUCGCGUGAGGGAUGGAGGCCUUCGGGUUGUGAACCUCUUUCUCCGGUGGUGAAGGCCCUGUCCGUUGCGGCGGGGUUGACGGUAGCCGGGUAUGAAGCGCCGGCUAACUACGUG
This 499-nucleotide ribosomal RNA is filed under the name uncultured bacterium. Its description in RNAcentral is "partial 16S ribosomal RNA". It matches the Rfam family "Bacterial small subunit ribosomal RNA", at positions 28 to 507 of the family's 1533-position model. The record is from RNAcentral.